UCAGUAACACGUGGAUAACUUGCCCUUGGGUCCGGGAUAACCCCUGAGAAAUUGGGGACAAUACCGGAUAGGGCAUCGAUUGCUGGAAUGCGCUGAUGUCCAAAAGCUGAGGCGCCCAAGGAUAGGUCUGCGGUCGAUUAGGUUGUUGUUGAUGUAAUUGAUCAACAAGCCUGCAAUCGGUACGGGUUGUGAGAGCAAGAGCCCGGAGAUGGGUUCUGAGAAAAGAACCCAGGUCCUACGGGACGCAUCAGGCGCGAAAACUUUACAAUGUGCGAAAGCACAAUAAGGGAACUCUGAGUGCCUCCUAUGGAGGCUGUUCAGGUGUCUAAAAAGCACUUGAAGUAAGGGCUGGGUAAGACCGGUGCCAGCCGCCGCGGUAACACCGGCAGCCCAAGUGGUAGCCACGAUAAUUGGGUCUAAAGCGUACGUAGCCGGCCAGGUAAGUUCUUUGGGAAAUGUAACCGCUCAACGGUAAGCUUUCACGGAAACUUGCUUGGCUUGGGACCGGAAGAGGCAGAGGUACUUNAAGGGUAGGGGGUGAAAUCCUAAAAUCAGCCGAAUUCCAACA
RNAcentral lists this ribosomal RNA (568 nucleotides) under uncultured archaeon. RNAcentral's name for it is "bacterial SSU rRNA". It matches the Rfam family "Archaeal small subunit ribosomal RNA", at positions 90 to 662 of the family's 1478-position model. The record is from RNAcentral.